AUGGGUUCUAGGGAUUUCGAAUUAUUCAACCAGGCUAUGCUGGCGAAACAAGGUUGGAGGUUGCUUACAUCACCAGAUUCUCUAUGCGCUAGAGUCUUAAAGGGUAAGUACUAUUAUGAUCAUGAAUUUAUGUCAGCUAAGAACAAAAGAGGAUCUUCGCAUAUUUGGAGAGCCAUUCUUCAUGGCCGAGAGGGUCUAAAAUUAGGCCUGAUAAAGAGGGUUGGUGAUGGUUCUUCUAUUCACCCAUGGGAGGAUCCAUGGAUUCCUUUUAACCAUGGUUUCAAACCCCUAGUUCAGCUUCCUGGUGCAGCUAUCAGUAGGGUGGAAGAAUUGAUUGACGCAGACAAUGAUGAAUGGAAUAUGAAUCUAUACCUACUAUUAAAACAAGGUGAUAUUCUUGGUUUCGUCUCGUGA
RNAcentral lists this ribosomal RNA (414 nucleotides) under Triticum aestivum (bread wheat). RNAcentral describes it as "partial small subunit ribosomal RNA". The record is from RNAcentral. Lineage: Eukaryota; Viridiplantae; Streptophyta; Magnoliopsida; Poales; Poaceae.